GGUUAAGUUAAUAAGGGCGCACGGUGGAUGCCUUGGCACUAGAAGCCGAUGAAGGACGUGACUAACGACGAAAUGCUUUGGGGAGCUGUAAGUGAGCAAUGAUCCAGAGAUGUCCGAAUGGGGGAACCCGGCAGGUAAUGCCUGUCACUCAUUACUGUUAAGGUAAUGUAGAGGAAGACGCAGUGAACUGAAACAUCUAAGUAGCUGUAGGAAGAGAAAGCAAAAGCGAUUGCCUUAGUAGCGGCGAGCGAAACGGCAAGAGGGCAAACCGAAGAGUUUACUCUUCGGGGUUGUAGGACUGCAACGUGGACUUAAAGAUUAUAGAAGAACUACCUGGGAAGGUAGGCCAAAGAGAGUAAUAGCCUCGUAUUCGAAAUAGUCUUUAUACCUAGCAGUAUCCUGAGUACGGCGAGACACGAGAAAUCUCGUCGGAAUCUGGGAGGACCAUCUCCCAACCCUAAAUACUCUCUAGUGACCGAUAGUGAACCAGUACCGUGAGGGAAAGGUGAAAAGCACCCCGGGAGGGGAGUGAAAUAGAACCUGAAACCGUGUGCCUACAACAAGUUCGAGCCCGUUAAUGGGUGAGAGCGUGCCUUUUGUAGAAUGAACCGGCGAGUUACGAUAUGAUGCGAGGUUAAGUUGAAGAGACGGAGCCGUAGGGAAACCGAGUCUUAAUAGGGCGCAUUAGUAUCAUGUCGUAGACCCGAAACCAUGUGACCUACCCAUGAGCAGGUUGAAGGUGAGGUAAAACUCACUGGAGGACCGAACCAGGGCACGUUGAAAAGUGCUUGGAUGACUUGUGGGUAGCGGAGAAAUUCCAAACGAACUUGGAGAUAGCUGGUUCUCUCCGAAAUAGCUUUAGGGCUAGCGUCGAUGUUAAGUCUCUUGGAGGUAGAGCACUGUUUGGGUGAGGGGUCCAUCCCGGAUUACCAAUCUCAGAUAAACUCCGAAUGCCAAUGAGAUAUAAUCGGCAGUCAGACUGCGAGUGCUAAGAUCCGUAGUCGAAAGGGAAACAGCCCAGACCACCAGCUAAGGUCCCAAAAUAUAUGUUAAGUGGAAAAGGAUGUGGGGUUGCACAGACAACUAGGAUGUUAGCUUAGAAGCAGCUAUUCAUUCAAAGAGUGCGUAAUAGCUCACUAGUCGAGUGACCCUGCGCCGAAAAUGUACCGGGGCUAAAACAUAUUACCGAAGCUGUGGAUACCUUUUAUAGGUAUGGUAGGAGAGCGUUCUAUGUGCGAAGAAGGUGUACCGUGAGGAGUGCUGGAGCGCAUAGAAGUGAGAAUGCCGGUAUGAGUAGCGAAAGACAGGUGAGAAUCCUGUCCACCGUAAGACUAAGGUUUCCAGGGGAAGGCUCGUCCGCCCUGGGUUAGUCGGGACCUAAGGAGAGACCGAAAGGUGUAUCCGAUGGACAACAGGUUGAUAUUCCUGUACUAGAGUAUAUAGUGAUGGAGGGACGCAGUAGGCUAACUAAACCAGACGAUUGGAAGUGUCUGGCCAAGCAGUGAGGUGUGAUAUGAGUCAAAUGCUUAUAUCUUUAACAUUGAGCUGUGAUGGGGAGCGAAGUUUAGUAGCGAAGUUAGUGAUGUCACACUGCCGAGAAAAGCUUCUAGCGUUAAUUAUACUCUACCCGUACCGCAAACCGACACAGGUAGUCGAGGCGAGUAGCCUCAGGUGAGCGAGAGAACUCUCGUUAAGGAACUCGGCAAAAUGGCCCCGUAACUUCGGGAGAAGGGGCGCUGACUGAUGGUCAGCCGCAGUGAAUAGGCCCAAGCAACUGUUUAUCAAAAACACAGCUCUCUGCUAAAUCGUAAGAUGAUGUAUAGGGGGUGACGCCUGCCCGGUGCUGGAAGGUUAAGAGGAGUGCUUAGCGUAAGCGAAGGCAUGAAUUGAAGCCCCAGUAAACGGCGGCCGUAACUAUAACGGUCCUAAGGUAGCGAAAUUCCUUGUCGGGUAAGUUCCGACCCGCACGAAAGGCGUAAUGAUUUGGGCACUGUCUCAACGAGAGACUCGGUGAAAUUUUAGUACCUGUGAAGAUGCAGGUUACCCGCGACAGGACGGAAAGACCCCAUGGAGCUUUACUGCAGUUUGAUAUUGAGUAUCUGUACCACAUGUACAGGAUAGGUAGGAGCCUAUGACCUCGGGACGCCAGUUUCGAGUGAGGCGUUGUUGGGAUACUACCCUUGUGUUAUGGCUACUCUAACCCAGAUAGGUUACCCCUAUCGGAGACAGUGUCUGACGGGCAGUUUGACUGGGGCGGUCGCCUCCUAAAAGGUAACGGAGGCGCCCAAAGGUUCCCUCAGAAUGGUUGGAAAUCAUUCGCAGAGUGUAAAGGUAUAAGGGAGCUUGACUGCGAGAGCUACAACUCGAGCAGGGACGAAAGUCGGGCUUAGUGAUCCGGUGGUUCCGUAUGGAAGGGCCAUCGCUCAACGGAUAAAAGCUACCCUGGGGAUAACAGGCUUAUCUCCCCCAAGAGUUCACAUCGACGGGGAGGUUUGGCACCUCGAUGUCGGCUCGUCGCAUCCUGGGGCUGUAGUCGGUCCCAAGGGUUGGGCUGUUCGCCCAUUAAAGCGGCACGCGAGCUGGGUUCAGAACGUCGUGAGACAGUUCGGUCCCUAUCCGUCGCGGGCGUAGGAAAUUUGAGAGGAUCUGCUCCUAGUACGAGAGGACCAGAGUGGACUUACCGCUGGUGUACCAGUUGUUCUGCCAAGAGCAUCGCUGGGUAGCUAUGUAGGGAAGGGAUAAACGCUGAAAGCAUCUAAGUGUGAAGCCCACCUCAAGAUGAGAUUUCCCAUGAUUUUAUAUCAGUAAGAGCCCUGAGAGAUGAUCAGGUUGAUAGGUUAGAAGUGGAAGUGUGGUGACACAUGUAGCGGACUAAUACUAAUAGCUCGAGGACUUAUCCAA
RNAcentral lists this ribosomal RNA (2901 nucleotides) under Streptococcus thermophilus. RNAcentral describes it as "23S ribosomal RNA". It matches the Rfam family "Bacterial large subunit ribosomal RNA". Lineage: Bacteria; Bacillati; Bacillota; Bacilli; Lactobacillales; Streptococcaceae. The record is from RNAcentral.